This 21-nucleotide microRNA is filed under the name Ornithorhynchus anatinus (platypus). RNAcentral's name for it is "oan-miR-1421w-3p". The record is from miRBase by way of RNAcentral. Lineage: Eukaryota; Metazoa; Chordata; Mammalia; Monotremata; Ornithorhynchidae.
UGCAUAGUGGGUGAUCUUCUU